Phoenix dactylifera (date palm) is the source of this 370-nucleotide non-coding RNA. The record is from RefSeq and is a predicted model, not a curated record. Lineage: Eukaryota; Viridiplantae; Streptophyta; Magnoliopsida; Arecales; Arecaceae.
UGGAGGAAGCCAUUUUGAGGGAGGGGCGGCGGCGUUGGAGCGGAGGUCGCCGGAGGAGACCGGAUGCCGGAGAGGAGGCCAAGCGCCGAGAUCCGGUCGGCCGCGGAGGAAGUUCCUUCGGUGAAGAUCCUCCACAAAUCGGGUGAAGAAGCGUGGAUCCGAGGGGAGUUGCUCACGGUUCCUCCUCCGAUUUCUCGCCGGAAGGAUCGUCGGAACGCCCCGCCGGACCGAGAGGCACUGGAUUUGUAGAGACCAUUGGGUGGGACGAGAAAUAAGAUCAGCAUGGAGUCUGAUUGCUGGAUAGAUAGGAGUUAAUCUAUCUUUUAUUUAUGGACAUUUGAAAUUAUGUAAUAAAUCAGUACAUUUUAGU